CCCACCUGCAAAGGUGUGUCCUAUCUUUGGACACGUAAGAAUUGGAGGCAAAGAAAUGCGGAACUGGAGAAGUCUGGGGCCAGCUUGCUCCCUGCAGGCUCAGGAUGAACCAUACAAGAGGG
This is a small nucleolar RNA of Mustela putorius furo (domestic ferret), 122 nucleotides long. NCBI's taxonomy places the organism in Eukaryota, Metazoa, Chordata, Mammalia, Carnivora, Mustelidae. The record is from Ensembl.